Molecule: ribosomal RNA, 439 nt
Filed under: uncultured bacterium
Lineage: Bacteria
Description: bacterial SSU rRNA
Rfam family: Bacterial small subunit ribosomal RNA
Source: RNAcentral
GAAUUCACUAGUGAUUCAGGCCUAACACAUGCAAGUCGAGGGGUAGAACACUUCGGUGUUUGAGACCGGCGCACGGGUGCGUAACGCGUAUGCAAUCUACCUUGUACAGGGGAAUAGCCCAGAGAAAUUUGGAUUAAUGCCCCAUAGUAUAUAACCUUCGCAUGUUGGUUAUAUUAAAGUUCCAACGGUACAAGAUGAGCAUGCGUCCCAUUAGUUAGUUGGUAAGGUAACGGCUUACCAAGACGAUGAUGGGUAGGGGUCCUGAGAGGGAGAUCCCCCACACUGGUACUGAGACACGGACCAGACUCCUACGGGAGGCAGCAGUGAGGAAUAUUGGUCAAUGGUCGCAAGACUGAAACAGCCAUGCCGCGCGCAGGAAGACGGUCCUAUGGAUUGUAAAGUGCUUUAUACAGGAAGAAACCCUCCCACGUGUGGGAGC